CAUGGGAUGAAUUUGUUUAGAAGUUAUUAGCUCAAGAGCUAAAGAAAGCCAAAACGAUUAUCACGGGUAAAACUGACAGAAUGGAGUUGUACCGACCUAAACCCCUAAAGCUUGCCUAUGGGAAGAUUGGCCAGUACCGAAGAAUUCAGCAACCCAAAAGGAAAAAUGGCUCCAAAAGUAAAGGGAUACAAAGAUGGCAUAGAGCUGUUUCUACCAAACAGAAUGUAUUGGUUCCCAAUGAGGAAUCAUUGAAUGAAAGUGACUUGGAGUUUCAUGAAAGCCAAAAUAAUCAGAAAAAAAACUUGAUGGAGAAAAUGAAGCGAG
This 324-nucleotide long non-coding RNA is filed under the name Cricetulus griseus (Chinese hamster). Its description in RNAcentral is "lncRNA (ENSCGRG00000025588.1)". Lineage: Eukaryota; Metazoa; Chordata; Mammalia; Rodentia; Cricetidae. The record is from RNAcentral.